GACGAACGCUGGCGGCGUGCUUAACACAUGCAAGUCGAACGGAAAGGCCCUGCUUUUGUGGGGUGCUUGAGUGGCGAACGUGUGAGUAACACGUGAGUAACCUGCCCUUGACUUUGGUAUAACUUCAGGAAAUUGGGGCCAAUACCGGAUAGGAGCUCCUGCUGCACGGUGGGGGUUGGAACGUUUCGGCGGUCGGGGAUGGACUCGCGGCUCAUCAGCUUGUUGGUGGGGUAGUGGCUUACCAAGCCUUUGACGGGUAGCCGGCCUGAGAGGGUGACCGGCCACAUUGGGACUAAGGUACGGCCCAGUAUCCUAAGGGGGGCAGCAGUGGGGGAUAUUACAAAAUGGGAGGAAGCCUGAUGCAGCAACGCGGCGUGCGGAAUGACGGCCUUCGGGUUGUAAACCGCUUUCGCCUGUGACGAAGCGUGAGUGACGGUCAUGGGUCAAGAAGCACCGGCUAACUACGUG
This 468-nucleotide ribosomal RNA is filed under the name uncultured bacterium. RNAcentral describes it as "partial 16S ribosomal RNA". It matches the Rfam family "Bacterial small subunit ribosomal RNA", at positions 28 to 507 of the family's 1533-position model. The record is from RNAcentral.